Molecule: RNA transcript, 1652 nt
Organism: Trichoplusia ni (cabbage looper)
Lineage: Eukaryota; Metazoa; Arthropoda; Insecta; Lepidoptera; Noctuidae
Gene name: cyclin-dependent kinase-like 4
Exons: 11
Source: RefSeq, a predicted model, not a curated record
AUCGUCCACAAAAAAAGUCGACUUCUGGCCUAUAUUCCGCCCUACCACCGCGGUUGUCAUGUACACAGGCCGACACAAACUGUAAACAAAACACCGAUCGAUAUUAGUCAGAACCACAACUAAAAGCUGUGCAGCCUUUGUCACGACCACUCGUAUUCCAAAAUUAAAAAAGCUUUUUGUCAAUUACGGGCGCGAAUUCUUGACAUAAAUUCCGGCGGGAAAUGCUCGCAGAUUUACACGUUCGGAUACGCGAAUGAAGGAUUUUAUUGUGUGGGAUUGUUCGCGCAUCAAGCUGUGGAACAACGUGGCAUCCUGUAUGGAGAAAUGGUUCGGUGAUAAACGGUUGUGGUUAUUUGGUAACAACCUGCCGCUGCUACCGAGAAGAUCACGCGCGAGCAGUCGCGCUAUGGAGCGGUACGAGAAGCUCGCCAAGCUCGGCGAGGGCUCGUACGGGCUCGUUUACAAGUGCCGCAACCGCGACACCGGCGAGAUCGUCGCCGUCAAGAAGUUUGUCGAGAACGAGGACGACCCGCUCAUCAGGAAGAUCGCGCUCAGGGAGAUACGGAUGCUCAAGAAUCUAAAGCAUCCGAACCUGGUGAAUUUGAUCGAGGUGUUUCGUCGCAAGCGCAAGCUGCACCUCGUCUUCGAGUAUUGCGACCACACGGUGCUUCAUGAACUAGAGAAAUUUCCAGCCGGCUGCCCGGAGCUGCUCUCGAAGCAGAUAAUCUGGCAGACGCUACAGGGCGUCGCGUACUGCCACCGACACAACUGCAUCCACCGCGACGUCAAACCGGAGAACAUCCUGCUGACCAGUGAGGGCGUCGUCAAGCUCUGCGACUUUGGCUUCGCGAGGAUGAUCAGUGGCAGUUGUUCGUCGGAGUACUCCGUCCAUACGAUGAUACCGUUCGGCGUGGAUGUGCGCAGGAGAGCUAGUCCAGGCCCGGGCGAGAGCUACACGGACUACGUGGCGACGCGCUGGUACCGCGCGCCCGAGCUGCUCGUCGGAGACACCAUGUACAGCACGCCGGUCGACGUGUGGGCCAUAGGCUGCGUGUUUGCCGAGCUCCUUUCCGGCGAAGCGUUAUGGCCGGGCAAGAGCGACCUAGACCAGUUGUACCUCAUUAGGAAAACCCUCGGCGACCUGCUGCCCAGGCACAUGACUAUAUUCUCACAAAACACCUUCUUUCAGGGCAUGGCGCUACCAGAACCUACAACGUCAGAGCCACUUGAGAGGAAGAUCCCACAAAGAUAUUCCAGCAACGAGCUGGUCCUAGAUUUUAUGAAUAAAUGCCUAGACAAAGACCCCAUGAUGAGGUGGACGUGCGAGCAGUUGUUAAGGCAUCCAAUUUUCGAGAACUUCCUAUUCACAGUACCACAUUCAGACCACGAGGAGUAUGAGAAGGCCAGAAGAGCACAGCGUGAAUUUGCGGAACGUUACCUAAUGAAAGACGACCAAGAUGAUAUGCAAAGUGAAUUAGUUUCACCAACUCCAAGGAAGAAGGGCAAAAAGAAAUGAUCGCACGCGAAGAGCUUUAGUAAGCGCGUGCAGUACCACGGCGUUCUGAGGUGCAGUCAUCACCACUGCUGCCUCAGUUGAUAGUGUCGGAGCGGAGCCAGCCCGCGAAGGGCAAGAAGUCGGAGCUGGACUCCAG